UAUGUUUAGGGUUAGGUUUAGGUUAUGUUUAGGGUUAGGUUUUAGGUUUAGGUUAUGUUUAGGGCUAGGUUUAGAUUUAGGUUAUGUUUAGGGUUAGGUUUAGGGUUAGGUUAAGAUUUAGGUUAUGUUUAGGGCUAGGUUUAAAUUUAGGUUAUGUUUAGGGUUAGGUUUAGGUUAUGUUUAGGGUUAGGUUUUAGGUUUAGGUUAUGUUUAGGGCUAGGUUUAGAUUUAGGUUAUGUUUAGGGUUAGGUUUAGGUUAUGUUUAGGGUUAGGUUUUAGGUUUAGGUUAUGUUUAGGGCUAGGUUAAGAUUUAGGUUAUGUUUAGGGCUAGGGUUAGAUUUAGGUUAUGUUUAGGGUUAGGUUUUAGGUUUAGGUUAUG
This is a long non-coding RNA of Astyanax mexicanus (Mexican tetra), 379 nucleotides long. RefSeq lists it as uncharacterized. The transcript is spliced from 3 exons. The record is from RefSeq and is a predicted model, not a curated record. NCBI's taxonomy places the organism in Eukaryota, Metazoa, Chordata, Actinopteri, Characiformes, Acestrorhamphidae.